AUAAUGAGACUCCCGCGUUGAACGCCCUCAAAGCAUUGCGCGGCGCACCCAUCAGUAUGGGCCGGGGUGAAAUUCCCGUGG
Pseudoflavonifractor capillosus ATCC 29799 is the source of this 81-nucleotide regulatory RNA element. It matches the Rfam family "pemK RNA". Lineage: Bacteria; Bacillati; Bacillota; Clostridia; Eubacteriales; Oscillospiraceae. The record is from Rfam.